GCCCUGGUUAGCUUGUAAGCAUGCCUGCCUUGUAAGCACUAGGUUGUUGGUUUGAAUCCUACCCAGGGCA
Molecule: transfer RNA, 70 nt
Filed under: Diaphorina citri (Asian citrus psyllid)
Lineage: Eukaryota; Metazoa; Arthropoda; Insecta; Hemiptera; Psyllidae
Rfam family: tRNA
About the family: Transfer RNA (tRNA) molecules are approximately 80 nucleotides in length. Their secondary structure includes four short double-helical elements and three loops (D, anti-codon, and T loops). Further hydrogen bonds mediate the characteristic L-shaped molecular structure. tRNAs have two regions of fundamental functional importance: the anti-codon, which is responsible for specific mRNA codon recognition, and the 3' end, to which the tRNAs corresponding amino acid is attached (by aminoacyl-tRNA synthetases). tRNAs cope with the degeneracy of the genetic code in two manners: having more than one tRNA (with a specific anti-codon) for a particular amino acid; and 'wobble' base-pairing, i.e. permitting non-standard base-pairing at the 3rd anti-codon position.
Source: Rfam by way of RNAcentral